This is a long non-coding RNA of Astatotilapia calliptera (eastern happy), 1599 nucleotides long. NCBI's taxonomy places the organism in Eukaryota, Metazoa, Chordata, Actinopteri, Cichliformes, Cichlidae. The record is from Ensembl.
AUUCCCGCUGAGGAAAAGUGUUGUGUGUGAGUGUCAAAGCGCGCUCUGGGUGAGAGAGUGUGUGUGAAGCUGCGAGGCGCGCUCUGGGUGCUGUCUUGUGGGUGAAGCGCGCACUGAGUGAGAGUGUGACUGAGGCGCGCUCUGAGUGUGUUUUGUGUGGAGAGUGAAGCGUGAACACAGUGACAGUGACGGUUAAUGUGUUUGAUUAGGAGGACAUUAGAGCAAAGACACAUUUUAGGAUCAAACGUUGAUGCCUAGUGUACCUGUGGACCUUUGCCCUAGGAGUGGCGACCCUCCUGUCCAGGGACGCUUGGCCAGGACCGGCGGCGUCCGGGUGCCGAGGUGGUGACUUGGGGAGAGAAAGGAACAGACACCAGACGAGGUCACAGAGAUGCGAGGAUCCUCCGUAGCAGAGUCAGACACAGUGACAGCCGAGACAGCAACUGGGGUCAAGUGUCAUGACGUUUGGGCUCCUGGAGAAGAUGGAUCCCACAAACACAGCAAUAACCAUGAAGGGGUUGGCGAAAACCAGGAACACCAGACCAACGAGGUUCGAGAGGCUCUUGGCAAAAAGGGGGACACGGCGGUGACCCCAAAACACACAGAUCCUUGUUUGAAAUCGCAAUAAUCCCCAGAACUGUGCAAUGACUAAAGGGUGGUCUAACCCCGGAGGACGAAGAAAGAAGCUGAGAAUCACCCAACUGGAAGACACUGGUAGCUGCAGCAAUAAAAAUAAAGGUUAAAAGCUCCUUAGACAGAGGUUCUAGUCUAAGUACAUUUGAAAGGUAUAAGGGGGCAUUAAAAUGGGAGUGGAAAACUGGAGCACCAAAAUAAAGCUGUGGGAAAAUUGGGAAUGAUGGGAGUGUCAUCUGUAACUGCUGUUAUGGUUGUAAAUCUAACUUUGCUUGCAUCUGAACUGCGUGAACACAGAGGUCAUCCCACAUAUGGUCCACCCGUUAAAGGGGGACAGAGGGCCUCAGGAUCAAGAAAACCUGGACCUUGCAACCCUGGAGUGCAUGUUGUAAGUGAUCUCUUUCAGAGAUCAAAAGGGGGAAUUAUUAAAUUAUUCUGUUAUUAUAUGUUACCUUAUAUAUGUAAUCAAAGUAGUUGAAUUAGAAUACUGCUGUAGAUCAUAUUAUACCCUUUAAAAUAGAGUGUGUGAGCUGUAUGUAGUUUAGUUCUCAUUAUACUUUUGAGUUAACAGAACAUAUUCACAUAUUAGUCCAUUGGAUAAAUGUGCAUCACUCUGUAUCCUUGAUCUGCUGGGAAUGUGUUACACUGUUUUCUUGACAUGCUUAAUUGUUGAAUCAUGAAGAGAAGGUUGUAAGCAGGAGACUCUGUGUCUAAAGACAGGGGAGAUAGACAGACCACAUUCCACACCCCCACCUUACAGAAAGCAGAGAAACAACUGCCGAGGUCAUAACUUAGGCGCUGUAACAGAGAAAAAAUGUGAUGUUUUGGCUUUUACGACUAGCUGGGGGCCACUAGAGACUAUAAAAAGCUGAGCAACCCGUCACCAUUUUGAGACAUGCUGUCGAACCUCUGCAGGCAUCUCUCCCGUCCGGACGUUGUAAUGCUCUUAUUGUUGAAUUGUAUGGA